GAUGAACGCUGGCGGCGUGCCUAAUACAUGCAAGUCGAGCGAACAGACGAGGAGCUUGCUCCUCUGACGUUAGCGGCGGACGGGUGAGUAACACGUGGAUAACCUACCUAUAAGACUGGGAUAACUUCGGGAAACCGGAGCUAAUACCGGAUAAUAUAUUAAAACGCAUGGUUCAAUAGUGAAAGACGGUUUUGCUGUCACUUAUAGAUGGAUCCGCGCCGCAUUAGCUAGUUGGUAAGGUAACGGCUUACCAAGGCGACGAUGCGUAGCCGACCUGAGAGGGUGAUCGGCCACACUGGAACUGAGACACGGUCCAGACUCCUACGGGAGGCAGCAGUAGGGAAUCUUCCGCAAUGGGCGAAAGCCUGACGGAGCAACGCCGCGUGAUUGAUGAAGGUCUUCGGAUCGUAAAACUCUGUUAUUAGGGAAGAACAAAUGUGUAAGUAACUAUGCACGUCUUGACGGUACCUAAUCAGAAAGCCACGGCUAACUACGUG
This 497-nucleotide ribosomal RNA is filed under the name uncultured bacterium. RNAcentral describes it as "partial 16S ribosomal RNA". It matches the Rfam family "Bacterial small subunit ribosomal RNA", at positions 28 to 507 of the family's 1533-position model. The record is from RNAcentral.